RNAcentral lists this ribosomal RNA (622 nucleotides) under uncultured Wolbachia sp. Its description in RNAcentral is "bacterial SSU rRNA". It matches the Rfam family "Bacterial small subunit ribosomal RNA", at positions 94 to 751 of the family's 1533-position model. The record is from RNAcentral. Lineage: Bacteria; Pseudomonadati; Pseudomonadota; Alphaproteobacteria; Rickettsiales; Anaplasmataceae.
AGUGGCAGACGGGUGAGUAAUGUAUAGGAAUCUACCUAGUAGUACGGAAUAAUUGUUGGAAACGGCAACUAAUACCGUAUACGCCCUACGGGGGAAAGAUUUAUCGCUAUUAGAUGAGCCUAUAUUAGAUUAGCUAGUUGGUAAGGUAAUGGCUUACCAAGGCAAUGAUCUAUAGCUGAUCUGAGAGGAUGAUCAGCCACACUGGAACUGAGAUACGGUCCAGACUCCUACGGGAGGCAGCAGUGGGGAAUAUUGGACAAUGGGCGAAAGCCUGAUCCAGCCAUGCCGCAUGAGUGAAGAAGGCCUUUGGGUUGUAAAGCUCUUUCGGUGAGGAAGAUAAUGACGGUACUCACAGAAGAAGUCCUGGCUAACUCCGUGCCAGCAGCCGCGGUAAUACGGAGAGGGCUAGCGUUAUUCGGAAUUAUUGGGCGUAAAGAGCGCGUANGCUGGUUAGUAAGUUAAAAGUGAAAUCCCAAAGCUCAACUUUGGAAUUGCUUUUAAAACUGCUAACCUAGAGAUUGAAAGAGGAUAGAGGAAUUCCUAGUGUAGAGGUGAAAUUCGUAAAUAUUANGAGGAACACCAGUGGCGAANGCGUCUAUCUGGUUCAAAUCUGACGCUGAGG